Molecule: ribosomal RNA, 364 nt
Filed under: uncultured bacterium
Lineage: Bacteria
Description: bacterial SSU rRNA
Rfam family: Bacterial small subunit ribosomal RNA
Source: RNAcentral
GGAGGGUGCAAGCGUUAUCCGGAUUUACUGGGUUUAAAGGGUGCGCAGGCGGAUAUGUAAGUCAGUGGUGAAAUCUUCCCGCUUAACGGGAAAACUGCCGUUGAUACUAUAUAUCUUGAAUGCUGUGGAGGUAAGCAGAAUAUGUCAUGUAGCGGUGAAAUGCUUAGAGAUGACAUAGGAUACCGAUUGCGAAGGCAGCUUACUACACAGAUAUUGACGCUCAUGCACGAAAGCGUGGGGAUCAAACAGGAUUAGAUACCCUGGUAGUCCACGCCCUAAACGAUGAUUACUCGACAUACGCGAUAUACAGUGUGUGUCUGAGCGAAAGCAUUAAGUAAUCCACCUGGGAAGUACGAUCGCAAGA